GAAAUGCGAUAAGUAAUGUGAAUUGCAGAAUUCCGUGAAUCAUCGAAUCUUUGAACGCAUAUUGCGCCCUCUGGCAUUCCGGGGGGCAUGCCUGUCCGAGCGUCAUUACGCACCCUCAAGCCCGGCUUGUGUGAUGGGCCCCGGCGUCUCGUUCGCGAGACGGGCCCGAAAGGCAGCGGCGGCGUCGACCCGAUGAGCCCGAGCGUAUGGGGACUUCUGUCACACGUUCGCGGUGCGGACCGUCGCCUGCUUGACUUUUCUGAUUAUCCAGGUUGACCUCGGAUCAGGUAGGGAUACCCGCUGAACUUAAGC
Molecule: unclassified non-coding RNA, 312 nt
Filed under: plant metagenome
Description: partial contains 5.8S ribosomal RNA, internal transcribed spacer 2, and large subunit ribosomal RNA
Rfam family: 5.8S ribosomal RNA (bases 1-105)
Source: RNAcentral